This 568-nucleotide unclassified non-coding RNA is filed under the name Hevea brasiliensis (rubber tree). Lineage: Eukaryota; Viridiplantae; Streptophyta; Magnoliopsida; Malpighiales; Euphorbiaceae. The record is from RNAcentral.
GCUUCACAGAAAUUGUACUUCAAAGCCAGCAAGCAGAUAAUUUGGGGCUAAAAGAACAUUUUUACAGCACCCAGUUGCCAAGUCAUACAGAGAAAUUGAGUUACUACAAAAAUGAGAGAUCCUAAACCAGAAGUAUCCAAAAAUUCUACAACAUGCUUCCAGAAAUAUAAUAGAAAUGUCACACAGUAUAUAAUUAACAUAAACCAAUUCUUGUCCUGUUAUGAUCACUAAGUGUUCCCAAAAGUUUUAUGAAAUUCAAGAAUGGAAUUCACUUCGAGUAACAGAGUUUCAGCCAAUCUCAUCUUUCAUUGUUUGACAUCCCAGUGCAAAAGGUUCCCAUUAUGACAUCUGGGAGGGUCAGAUGUUUGUAGCAUUCCAAAUGCUCUGCAGAUAACAAUAAACUAAAGGGCCUUCAGAGGUAUAUUGGAAUUCUACCCAACACAAAUCAAAAGAGGAUAGAGUAUGAUCAUGCUUCUUCUAGCAGCAACUUCAACUAAUAUAGAAUUCCUAAAACAGGUACAGAAUACAAUAGCAAACCCUCAUUAUUCAUGAGAAAAGGCCAUUUUAG